AACUCGCCUGAAACAAAGGUUCGUGUUUUAAACAUGUAAAGUGUUUAAAUUAAAUCGAAUGAAUGCACUAAUGAGCUAGUAUGCCAACCGCCAAUAAACAGAAGAAGAAGAAGAAGAAGACGAAGAUGAAAUGAACUGUUCAUGCAAAUGUAUAGUUUUACUACGAAUCGCAGAACGAAAACUUUCCUAUUGGAUGAAACCAUGUGAUGCAACGAGAAGACAACGAUGUGAAGCGACUGAGAUCCACGUGACACACUAUUAUAAAGAUGGCGUUUAUUAAAGAGGAGAGUUUAGACAUUAGGAUUGCAGAAGUAUUCAGCAUCAAACAUGAAGAUACUGAGGAACAAACAGAUAUGAUGGCACUGAAAGUGGAGAGUCAAGAACUAAAUGAAAUGGAAGAGAAAGAUCAGUAUGGAAAACAUGAUUUCACAAAUGGAGAAAAAUAUUUUAGUUGCUCACAGACUGAAAAGACUUCCUCACAAAACGUUGCUCAAAAGACUGGAACUAGAAGUUAUUUCACCUGCCAACAGUUUGGAAAAGGUUUCAACAGUAAAACAAAACUUACAAAGCACAUGAA
This is a long non-coding RNA of Sinocyclocheilus anshuiensis, 577 nucleotides long. RefSeq lists it as uncharacterized. The transcript is spliced from 3 exons. The record is from RefSeq and is a predicted model, not a curated record. Lineage: Eukaryota; Metazoa; Chordata; Actinopteri; Cypriniformes; Cyprinidae.